ACAUGAAAGAAUCCAAAGUCCCUGUCGGGAUUCGAACCCACAGCGGUGAGGGGCAAGUGGUUUGAAGUCAACGACCUUAACCACUCGGCCACGGACGCCCCAGAUAUACAUAUUAAAACAUAUACAGUUCAAUGGUGGAAUUGCAUUUAGCACAUUAUAGCGUGUGAAAAAUGUAAAUAUGAUUAAUGUCGUUAUUUUUUUUAUAGAACGGAUGUCGAAAUUCAUAAUUUAGAUGUUAAGUUGUAUACUGCAGCCUGUUAUAACGUGACACCGUAUUUACAGAUAUAUGAGACAUUUGUUGUGCAAUCGUAGAAGUAACUUGAGAAAUAUACCAGGUAUAAAGUAAAUUAACGUUCGGUUAUUCAGCGUUAAAUUUAUAACGGUAGCUAGCACCAUGAUAAGUAAGCAAACAUUAGUCAUUAAACAUAAUUCAUCAAAAAGAAUUGUCUUCCAAGGGUUCUUAUAUCAAUCCUAAAUUAAAACACGUGCCUUAAUAACAAAUGUUAAAAAGAGUUUUUAGUAAUAUGUUUAUCUUUGGAAAUACAUACAUACAAUUCUUGUUUCUUAAUUCCUUGUUUCUUUGUUUCUUGAUUCCUUAAACUUUUGCGAUAACCGUAAUUAAUUAAGUUUCAAUGUAAUUAUAUUAUCAUUACAAAUGUAUCUGACUGUCAAAAUACUGAAAUGAUAUAAUUUGUAUAAAUUGGACAUAAAUGUUAUUUUCAUUUCCUGUUACUUUGUAAUUGUCUUGACAGAAUAUUAAAUGAUUUUGUUUGUGUUGUUUUCCGGUGUGUAUAUUAAAAAUAAUUUUGACAUUAGUCUGUAAUCAAACAAGUAAUAGAGAAGGGUUAUGUUUCCAGUAUCUAGUUAAUCUUUUUCAUCAUUACGCACUUAAGUGAAAUGUAGAAUAAACAGUGUUUUUCGUCAUUAUAUUGACAAAGUACUAAUUAAAAAGAAAUAAAAACAAAAAUAGGAAUUGUAUAUUUAUAAAGCUUGAAUAUAUUAAGUGUUUCGCAACAGCUCGUUGCUUUUCAAAACCCAGAGUUUCUCAAUGAUAAUAUUGAUAAAGAGAUCGAACAACGUGCUUCAAAAGCAGGGUAUGUAAAUUUAAGAUUCAUUUUAAUUUCUACGCAAUUAUUUUGUAAAUGUAUGCAGUUAAACUUUUAUUGUUUGUAUGCAUUCAAAUUACGACAUUUUCAUAUUUGAUGGCCCAGUCACAUUCUUAAUAUGUCAAUAAGUACAUAUUAUUUCAUGACAUGUAGUAAGAAUGAGUUUACUAAGCGCAUUCUUAUACUAGUUAUUUUUUAUAUAUGUUAUAGACCGUUGGUUAUUAAGCUGUCACAACAUAUUGCUCCGUUAUUUAGAUACCCGCCUGUUUCCUAUUGUACAAAUAGAUGUCAAGUGUAACAAUAUUGCAAUGUUUUACACGGUACAUAUUUCAUACGUUUAUUGUAGUCCUUCUUACCCAUGCCUUUAUGUACGUUUAUCGUUAGAAGAUUUUUUGCCUUUUACUGAAUAUUUUAUCUUUCUAAAGUACAUGUAGUACAAAAACCACCAUAAAACUGUAAACAUUAAAAUUGCUAGGUUUUAUUGUACACUAUUUGAUGAAAUAUAUGCAUAAGAAGCCGAUAUGAUAAGGAAAAAGGUUUGUGAGAGAAACGUAUAUGUCUGCUGUUCGUGCAAACAGAUAAACGACAAUGUCAAAAUAAUAUUCUGUUGUUAUAGAAAAAGCAAAACAGAAUGAUACAGAGCAUAAUCGACAAAGGGAUACACUUAAUAUAAUUGAAUAUGAAAACAUGCCAUAUGUCUUAAUGUAGUAGAUACAGGUGCAUAUGACUAAUACUCGAAUUUUGAAAACCAUAAUAUAUUAUCAAAAGACGUGCACACUAUUGUAAUGUUACACGAUAACGCCAAAAAAUACCUUUAUAUUUUUUAAAUAUCUUAUUAAAUAUACUUAUUUUUUCAGCAUAUUUCAAGACAUUGAAUAAGGUUAUACAGAUUCAGCAUUUAUAUAAUGGCAGAUUUAACCGAAGUAUGACCGAAGGGUUAUUCAACAUCAGAAGAGAGAAUCGGCCCAGCCGGUUUCGGUUCAAAUAGAAAAUAGUCUCAGGGAAUAGUACAUAUGUGUUAUGUAAAAUGUAUAAGUGUGUGUACUAAAACAACGUAAUAUAACACUAAAUGACAGUGAUGAUUCGAAUUAAAAAGCAAAACAUUACAAACAAUGGCUAUUGAAACUUCAAGGAAGAAGUAAUCGAGAGGUAAUCGAGUGGUGCUUGGAAAUUCGUUAAUUAAUCAGCCUUAAGAAGAAAGAAACAGUGAUUUGACAUUAAACAAUCAAGAAGAUGAUACUGGAUAUUAAUAUAAAAAGGCGUCAAAUAAGGAGUAACCAUAAAAUACGGAUAAAACGGAUAAAAGACAAGUGAUGCAUUGGAACAAACGCGAACAAUUUUGAAUGCGCGCUGAAGACAUCAGGCAUAAACAUUUAACUUUGAAGUUGCUGAAGUGAUUUUGGUAUUCUCAAUUCAUCAUGUUCAACUAAAGUUUUUCUUUUUUUUCUAAAAAAAUCAAACUUGUUAUUAGUAUUUGAUUCUGCUAAAAUAUAAUUCCGGGAAAUGUAUAUAUAAUAUGUCUUAUCAGUGCUUUGAGUUUUUGUGUAAUAUAAUAUUGCGCAAUAUUAUAAUAUUUGAUAAGUAUGAAUUUCUGAGACAUAUUGUGCCAUAAACUUCUGUUUGUUCAUAAUCUUUGGUAUUAAAUACUUAAAGGCACGUCAUGCCUCAAAAAUGUUGUGCUAUUAGUUGUAUUUAUGUUUUCGUAUCUUGUUACCGUUUCAUAAAAAAUAGUACUCACUCAUUGUCCAUAUAGAACAAUUUUGUGAUAUAAUUUGGGACAUAUUGUGCCUUUAACCUUUUUACAAUUUUGAUACUAGCUUUUAAAAUCCAAUAUCUUUCUUUCAUAAACAUCUUUUCUUUAUAUGUUUGAUAUGUUUCAAUGUUCAAAUUGAUUUUUGUUUUUGUUUCUGAUUUUCGAUAUCAUUUAGGAAAUUAGAUAUGAGAUCAGAAUUCUCCAUAAAUAAUUUAUUUGUUAUUUCUAUUACAUUCGAUUAAUGUUCAGUAAUACCAACUUUGUCUUUUUUGUGUUUGUUUCAGUAACAAUGCAUGCAAUUUUAUGGAAAAAAAAAUAGAAAAUGAAAUUUUAAUCUCUUUCUAUGCUAUGCAUAAAUUUUAUUGCAAGUUAAAUGAUUUCUUUUUUUCUUUGAAAAAAAAUUAAACACAGAAAAACACACAAACAACAUGAAAAACGAUCUAUGAAAACAUAUCAUUGAACAUACGUUUGAAUAUAUCUAGGACUAAAAUUGUAUAUAUAAACAAAGCAGCCUGGUUUAAA
Molecule: long non-coding RNA, 3381 nt
Organism: Ruditapes philippinarum (Manila clam)
Lineage: Eukaryota; Metazoa; Mollusca; Bivalvia; Venerida; Veneridae
Exons: 3
Source: RefSeq, a predicted model, not a curated record